UUUACUUCUUUUUAGUUGACACAAGUUAAAACCCUGUACCAGGAUGAUCCACAGGGAAGAGCCGGGGAUAGCUCAUUUGGUAAACCAAAGGACUGAAAAUCCUCGUGUCACCAGUUCAAAU
Molecule: transfer RNA, 121 nt
Filed under: Pinus caribaea var. hondurensis
Lineage: Eukaryota; Viridiplantae; Streptophyta; Pinopsida; Pinales; Pinaceae
Also listed under: 1 other name
Description: partial tRNA-Phe
Source: RNAcentral